Non-coding RNA from Sus scrofa (pig), 2742 nucleotides. The record is from RefSeq and is a predicted model, not a curated record. Lineage: Eukaryota; Metazoa; Chordata; Mammalia; Artiodactyla; Suidae.
GAAAUUGCUAUUGUUGUCAGAACUGUGUAGGCAAAAACUCCUGCUAGUAAUUUUUUUUUUCCUCUUAUUCUCUGAGUCUGCAGAAAAAAGCUAUAGAACUAUUUGUGUAACUCAGGUCCUCCGGGACAGAUUUAUUUGUCCUACUUCCUCCUACCUCUGGAAUGGAAUAUCUACAGUCGUGCUUUGUCCUUGUGAUGGGAAGGAAAUAUCUUCCCCUUGAUGCCGGGAUGGACUGUAGAAUUUACUUUGGCCAGUGGGACACUGGUCGAUGAGAUACAUCCGGAGGUUUGAAAUGUGCCAGUGUGUCCGGGUUUGUUCUCUUGCGCUGCUGCCAUGACCAUGAGAAGAACUUGCAUUUGAUGCUUGCUGACCCCAGGAGCGUAACUCCCAUGGAGGGCAUACCUGACCUGCCACUUGGAGCCAUGCCCAGCCAGAUUUAGACAAGAGGAGCCAAACUCCAGACGAACCAGAUGCCUGAAAAGACUCUUUGUUUUUGCCAUUCUGUGCACGAGCUAAGCAGAAUACAGUAAAGAGAAAUGGGGCAGGCCCAGGUAUCCAGGAGAUGGGAGAGAAUUUGCAUUCCGACUGUGGAACUCAUCAAAAGGCUAUUCUUCCUGCCUCCACUGGAAGGUACAAUUCAGGUUGGGGGCUAUUGAAAACAAGACUCUACCUCUUUCUUCAAAUUCUAACUGGCGGGGGUGGGGGCUCUGAAGGUGACCUUGUGCCCCCAGAUGUCCCCGGUGGACUUGACAGUUGAAAGCUGUUGAUGCUCCUUCCAAAUCUGAGGCUGCUGGUGUUUUCAAAAAGGAAGAAAUGCCCUAAGAUGGUUCACCCAAAAUAAGCUGGCUACAGCGGAUGGUGACUUUUGGCAAAAUCACGCAUUUAACAUACCCAACACACACACACACACGGAGAAUUGUGUGUGUAGCUCCAGUUGAGGAAAAUGUCCAAAGUUUGGAUUUGAGGAACAGGAUGGAAAUAAGGUGCCACCAGAGGCCACCCGUGCCCUCCAACCCGACCCCAACCCCCAUCGGGAUGGUUUGGUCCAAGAUACUUCACAGAGAGAACGACCCCCGCCAACCACACACAACCCCCCCACUUCCAUGAAAGACGUCUCAUCCAUCAUUUGCCCACCUCCCCAAGAAGCAUUAUGCAUCGUUUAAUUCCAACUCUUUUUCGUGUUUCCUUUUAAAAACCAUAGACUUCCAAGAGAGACUUCCCCCGAAAGCAAAGCAUUCUCCAUGGGUUUGGAAUAAACCUGCAAAAUCCUCUCAACUCCCCUUUACCACACACACACACUGAAACCCAGCUCCAGCGCUGUGUCUGCAUCAUCCCACUUCUGCCUCUUCCACACAGACUUAUUUCAUAAAAACGUCAGCUAUUAAGUUAACAUUAUUUAAGGGGCUGUGGGUGUUUAGUUCCUGAAUGCAACCUAAGCUGGAUGGGGAGAGGGGAGAGGCCUGACGUGAAGGCCUGGCUGUAUAAAACAUGAUCCACAGAGAAGCUACAUAAAUAACCCGACCGUGGGCUCCCAGCGCCUCUCUAUUUAUCACUGAAGUAACGAUAAGGAUCUGCUUUAGAGUGAACCCUGCUGAGGGUCCAGCCCCGGCACAAGCUGUAAUAUGAUCUGCAGGGGAGGGCUGAUAACCCGACACAAUGUGAAGAAACCCGGGCAGAGGAAUAAGACAAACUGUUCGUCCAUUAAACGGCGCUGUCAGGAAGGGGGCCGCGAAGCCAAACAGAGCUCCAUCCAAUUCUUGCGUGGAGACACAAAGCCAGGAACACCUGAACCGAGCUGGGGAAAUAACCUCCCUCAGAAACAAGCGGAGGUGGGGUCAGGGGAAGGGGGAAGCGGUCUCUCAGGCACAGCCUGCACCCCCCCUGGGGUGGGGUCUCUCCAUCAGUGAAAUGGGAUCCAUCCGCUUGGUGGCCCCUCCCUCCUGGGUGGUUGGGGUGAUCCCAUGGUCGAGGGACCUCCAGAGGGUCCUGAGGAAGAAGGAGACGACUCCACGAAGGCCAGGAAUGCAGAGGCCACGCUGGUUAUAGAAGUGCUGGAACCACCCAAGGAAGAUGAAGGGCUCGUUCAGCUCCAGGAGCUGUAGUGACGCAGCGCCUUCAACGUGGCGGCACAGAAGCCCAGGCCGCUGCCACCAAGUCUGAAUCUUUCUUUCAAAAGAAGCUCCAGAUACGAUCUUUGCUGGGAAAUUUCAAGGAUUCGGUGUUUGCUGUUACUGAGAAUUUUUUUUUUUUUUCUCCCUGUAUUCUGUGUGCUUUUCUUUUAAAAAUUCCUUGUAUUGAGUUGAAAAACUGUGGAUUAGAUGUGGCCCAUCAUUUGUGCCCUCUGGACUAAAGCAAAGCAAAGGGGGAUCUUUCUGGAUCACCACCAUGGCUCCUGCACUUCAGGUUAGACAGCACGCGGGGACAGGAAGGCACAGAAACAGCAGGGCCCCUUCUCACAUCCGCGGGUCGAUCUCACAUUUGUGCCGGCUCCUUUGACUUUAGGGUGUCCUUUUUCUGGAUCUACACCGCAUCUCGUGGAGUGUGACACAGAAUCUUCAGACAACAAAGAUUCUCUCCCACUGAGAGCGUUACGUCUGAACUGUCCCCUGAGCUUUUCAUUCCUAGAGAACCUUGGCCCUGCCCCUGGCCAGCAUUUUUCCUUGGAAAUAUUGAUGCAUUUUGCACAAACAUUGAUGGCAUUUUGCACAUGCACUGCAAGUCUGUAGCUCACCACCACCACCC